GGAAGGAUCAUUACCAAGCCGUGAGGGUUGCCUCCCCAAAAGGGAUGGCGAUCUUUCACCUGGCCACCCUUGUUUACCCUUAACCUGUUGCUUUGGUGGGCCCGCUGAAAGGCCGCCGGGCGAUCUUUAGUCUCCGGGCGAGCGCUCACCAAAGUCAUUCUUGAACUCUGAAGGUGUUUGGUGCUGUCUGAGCUUUGCAAAUAGCAUAUAAUUGUUUAUAAAACUUUCAACAACGGAUCUCUUGGUUCUGGCAUCGAUGAAGAACGCAGCGAAAUGCGAUAAGUAAUGUGAAUUGCAGAAUUCCGUGAAUCAUCGAAUCUUUGAACGCAUAUUGCGCCCUUUGGCAUUCCGAGGGGCAUGCCUGUCCGAGCGUCAUUAAUCAUUAAUCAAGCACGGCUUGUUGUUGAGCAUCCUUUGUCCCCGACCCCCCUCUUUUUUGUUGGGGGAGGGACAGGCUUGAAAUGCAGUGGCGAUCGCUGAGAUUGGUUGCUCGAGUGUAUAGGGCUCCGUCACACACUCUGGUUGGCUCCAGCUCGCAUUCUGCCAUAACCCUUUUUUUUUAGUCUGAUUGACCUCGGAUCAGGCAGGAAAACCCGCUGAACUUAAGCAUAUCAAUAAGCGGAGGAAAAGAAACCAACAGGGAUUGCCUCAGUAACGGCGAGUGAAGCGGCAAAAGCUCAAAUUUGAAAUCUGGCUUCCAGUUUCUGGAGUCCGAGUUGUAAUUUGCAGAGGAUGCUUUGGGUGUCGGUUGUGGUUUAAGUUCCUUGGAACAGGGCAUCGUAGAGGGUGAGAAUCCCGUCUAGAGCCGCCAACCUAGCCCAUGUAAAGCUCCUUCGACGAGUCGAGUUGUUUGGGAAUGCAGCUCUAAAUGGGUGGUAAAUUUCAUCUAAAGCUAAAUACUGGCCAGAGACCGAUAGCGCACAAGUAGAGUGAUCGAAAGAUGAAAAGCACUUUGAAAAGAGAGUUAAACAGCAUGUGAAAUUGUUGAAAGGGAAGCGCUUGCGACCAGACUCGCCUGCGGCAGGCUCAGCCGGCAUGCUUUGCCGGUGCACUCCUACGCAGUCGGGCCAGCGUCGGUUCUGAUGGUUGGUUAAAGACUUCUGGAAUGUGUCGUCUCUCCGGGGGCGUCUUAUAGCCGGAGGUGUAAUGCAGCCCGUUGGGACCGAGGAUCGCGCUUCGGCACGGACGCUGGCGUAAUGGUCGUAAGCGACCCGUCUUGAAACACGGACCAAGGAGUCUAACAUCCACGCGAGUGUUCGGGUGUUAAACCCGUGCGCGCAGUGAAAGCGAACGGAGGUGGGAACUCCUUUGUGGAGUGCACCAUCGACCGAUCCUGAUGUCUUCGGAUGGAUUUGAGUAAGAGCGUGGCUGUUGGGACCCGAAAGAUGGUGAACUAUGCCUGAAUAGGGUGAAGCCAGAGGAAACUCUGGUGGAGGCUCGCAGCGGUUCUGACGUGCAAAUCGAUCGUCAAAUUUGGGUAUAGGGGCGAAAGACUAAUCGAACCAUCUGGUAGCUGGUUCCUGC
RNAcentral lists this unclassified non-coding RNA (1524 nucleotides) under uncultured fungus. RNAcentral describes it as "sequence contains 18S rRNA gene, ITS1, 5.8S rRNA gene, ITS2, 28S rRNA gene". The stretch from base 570 to 1524 matches the Rfam family "Eukaryotic large subunit ribosomal RNA", at positions 1 to 961 of the family's 3401-position model. The record is from RNAcentral. Lineage: Eukaryota; Fungi.